CUGGACACCUGACAUUCCCCAUCCAGGGCAGAGGGCCGUGGGCCUCUCUGGUCCUUGGUACCAGUCACAGAGCCUGUGCAGGCUCGGUGGGUCAUCAGCCUGGCACCGGGCCACGUCGCGGGGAGCUGCCUGCCCAUUCACAAGCCGAUGGCAGUUGCACUGGAAGUCAACAGGGAAAUGGAAAGAGACAGACCCAGCCUCUGUGGAGGCGCCUGCCCUGGGACCUGUGCCCGUGUGCACAUGGCUUUCCGGGUGAGGAUUUCCCCUCGUGGAAUGGGAAUAGCAGCUGAGGCCGAGGAGAGAUAGAGAACUGCCUGUGCUUUCCAAAGGGCUUCCUUCCACAGUGUCUCAUUGACUCAAGCUUCAUAACAACCGGUGGUGAGUGUGUAUGUGCGUGCAUCUGUGUGUGUGUGUAUUCAUGCACGUAUACACACACACACACACACACACACUUUCUCUCAUUUACAGAUGAGAAAAAUACAGCCACAAAAGAUGAAGGACUUUGUCUAAGGCCUUCCAGCUAUUAAGAAACAGAAGGUGGGUGGGGAAGAGGGUUGGGAAUGAGCACAUCCCUGGAAAACCCUGCAGGUCUGUAAGGUCAGGGGUUAGGCAUUGAGGGGGUUCAUUGGAGCAAAACGAGUCAUUACAGUUUCCGAGAAGUCUACUGAUCAAGUCAGGCCCUGAUGCACAAUGGCGGGGAGCAAUGGCUCCUGGCGGUGGCUGCUGGCAUGAUUUGUUCUGUAUCUGUCUGUAGCCUCCUCUCCUGGCAUUCACUCUUGCCCCAACCAAAUGCUACACUCCAGCCACACGUGUUAGCCUUAGCCAGCCUGCCCCAUUACCCUUUCAGGCUUUUGUCCUAUUAAACAUGCUUUUUUUUUUUCUUUUUUCUUUUUUUUUUCUGUCUAGUGAGCAGGGGAUGGGGAGAAAAGGAAGGACACCUCUUUCUGUAAUUACAUGCUCCAAAAGUGUCACCUUCUCAUUAAGGUUAAAGGAAUACAUUGCGCGACCGUAAAACCACGCUGGAAAAAGUGUGAAUGCGUGGCCUUGAGACGAUAGGGAAGGUGGUCAAAGGUGACACCACUUUAACAUGCAACUUCCUCAACAACCAGGAAUGCUGCCGGGGUCCCAGCCCACCAGGCUAGGUAGCCCUUGGUGCUAGCACCCAGCCGUGUCUCCGACUUGCUGGCAUACCAGAGGGCCCGAGACAUCUUUGGGGAAGGACUUUGAGAAGGAGAGGCGUAAGGCUACAGAGAGAAGUCAGUCCCUCUCCCCGCCACUGGUACUUCGCCUUAGGAAUACAGUAGGCUGUCACUUGGGUCAAAAGCAUAACCGUGGCGAGGAGCAGGGAGAGAAGGAGGAUGGUUACGAAGAGGAGGAAGAGGAGGAGGGGAAGCGGGAAACAGGAGGGGGAGCAGAGGAGGUGGGGUGGGAGGGAUGCAUGGUGGGAAUUUAACGGCCUCUAAUAACAAUCCCUAGAUCUCUUGCAGCUGCUGGAGAAGUCUAGCUUGCCAUUGGGACUAAGGAGGGAGGCCUUGUAAUCUCCACACCCACACCCAGGGAAACUUGGGUAGCAGCUGGGCUGCUUGGGUCGAGCUUCCCCUCCAAGCCCUGCUAGUUUAGGGUCGGACUCUGAGAAGACUGGUUCCCUGGGUCAGGUCCACUGUCUCCAGAGCCAAUGGGGCACGGGUACAGGUGGGCAGCCUGGCCUGGAAGCCACAGGACUGUGACUCAGAGAAGAGGCUUUUGCUAGAAGACUCCUGAGCCAAAGCGGUACGGUGGUGCAGCAUUGGGCAACACGAAUAAAUACUUAAUUUAAAAAAGUGCUGGGGGUGCGUCUGGGUGGCUCAGUCAGUUAAGCAUCCGGCUUCGGCUCAGGUCAUGGUCGUGUGGUUUGCGGGUUUGAGCCCCAGCUCAGAGCCUGGAGCCUGCUUUAGAUUCUGUGUCUCCCUCUCUCUCUGCCCCUCCCCUGCUCACGCUCUCUCAAAAAUAAAUAAAAGUUAAAAAAAAAUUUUUUUUAAAAGUGCUGGGGGCACCUGGGUGACUCAGUCGGUUAAGCUGCACGACUUGAUUUUGGCUCAGGUCAUGAUCUCCUGAUGUGCGAGAUGGAGACCCGCAUUGGGCUCCAUCCUGAGCGUGAAGCUUGCUUGAGAUUCUCUCUCUCUCUCUCUCUCUCUCAAAAUGAAUACACAAAAAACCUUUUUAAAAGUGCAUAGUUUGAGGAGAGGUUCUGUACAGACUUCGAGGUGAAAGACCCCCAAGCUGUAAGGAUAAAGGAGAGCAUCCCCGUGGAGAAGCAACUUUGUGCCAGACACAGUGUGGGGUGCUGGAGAUAGGGAAUUAUUAUCGGAGCUCCCACGGAUCGCAUGCCCACCACGUGCCAGGGCUUUCACUCCAUUUAGUACCUCCCGCCACCUCCCUGCGGGAGGCCUGAGUACUCGCACCGCACCGUCAGGGAGGCCCAGACAUUCAGUUACUGAACACAGAGCAGCCCGGGCCUUCAAGCCCUCCUUGCUCUACAGCUGCGUCAGAGGAGGCCGAGGAGGGUAAGUGACUUGUCACAAUUGAAGGCACCUGGCACACACAGCUGAGCCCAUUUGCAGGAUUUCCAGUCCAUCGCCAACUGCCAGGGCCAUUUUCUCAACUGGUGGCAGCUUCCUGUGUUUUUCCAGUGCCGGGUCACGGCUGGCCCUCCCAGGAGGCUCUCGGGGCCCCGGGCUGUGGCUUUGCUCAGUUGUGUCUCCCGGGCAGUAGUGACAGUGCACCCGUGUGCUGAUGCAGCCCACGUGCCCACAGAGAUGACAGGAAGGGAGCAGCCAGGAGGGAGAGAGGAAGGAAGGGCCUGGAGGAGCCCGGUGGCGGGUGGGGCCUGGAGGGAGAGGGAAGGCUCAGGGGACUGGCUUCCUUGUAAACAGUGCAGCCUGUUCUAAAAAUACCCCUGCCCUAGACAGGGCACGCUGAGUUCCUCAGGUCUCUUCCAGAGGCUUCCCGGGGACCUCGGGCCCUGUCCUGAAAGGCCAAGAGGAUGGGAAGAAAGUUGACUUGUGAAGAGUAGGAUUUCCUUAGCAAGGAAAGUAUACCAGUAUUUCCUUCCUCGGCAAAACAGGAGGAGGACGCUCUGUGGGUUUUAGCAGCAGCGAAAACAACAAUGAAAAGCAAAAAGCUGCUCCCCUGGGCCCUUGUGCCCUGUUGAGUAGUCCGAGGCCUGGGCCUAGCUCCGGUUCACAGUCUGGACCUGCGAUCAGAGACUGGGAGCAGGCCCCGGGGCUGGUAUCUCCAGCUGUUCCCUUUAUCAGGCGUGGGAUCUAUGACUCAACCACCUGAUGCCUUAGUCUCUACAGUUAUAAGAGGGAAUCACGACAGUAGUGACUUUGAUCAGGUGUGAAGGGGAUUAAAUGAAAUGCUAUUUCAUAAGGUUCUUAGCACAGUGCCCCGUACAUGAUAAACGCUCAAAAAAAAAAUGCUUAUUGUUAUAGUAUAUGGGAGGAUAUAACUAUUUCCUGAAUUCCAAAUUAAGACCUCGUUUAAGAGGAAAUGUAGUAGGCAAAGAGAGUGGUGGGGGUGAGAUGAGUCAGAAAGAGUCUAAAUCCUAGAAAUCUCAAAUCAGCCAUUUGACAGAUAGGAAAACUGAGGCCCAGGGAGAAAACGGGAGUAGCCGCAGGCCAGACACAGUAUUACCAGCUGCCUGUGGGUUGAAUAUAACAUAACCACGUAACGAGAACACCAAAAUCCUGGGUGAUUCUAAGCCUGCCCCACUAGGAGUCAGGAGAAUAAGGCCUUUUAUUUAUACAGCACUUUGAAGUUUGGAAAACCCUUUAAAAGGGGAGACAGACCUCAGCAGACCACUGCCAGAGGGCUGAGCUCUAUGAAGGGGGGGACUUAAUGCACACGUACAAGCAUGUAGCCAAACAGAACUCAUCCUUGGGGUGGUGACAAAGUUACACAUCUAUAGACCAAGCCCUUGAUUCUGAGGACCAUGGAGAAGGGGCACAGGAAGGCAGGGUUUGGCUCAGCCUAAAGAAGAAUCUUCUAAUGCUGUGCCACCCGACGUGUUAGACCCUAGCCAAACAUGGCCAUUGAGCACAUGAAAUGUGGCUAAUCUGGAUUUCAAAGACUUAAUUUAAAAAGCAAAAGAAAAAGUAAAAUAUACCAUUAAUCACUGUUUUACUGACUCCAUGUUGAAAUGAUAGUUUCAUGAGGUCCAUUGAGUUAAUUAAUAUAGGUUAUUAAAAUGAGUUUUUCCUGCUCUUUUUUUACUUUCCCCCAUGGCCUCUGGGAAACCUAGACUCACGCAUGUAGCUUGCAGCCUUUCUGCUGGGCAGUGCUGUUGUAACCACUGAGUUUGUGCAAGAAUGGAGCAAGCUGUCUUAGCAGGUAAUAAGUCUCUCAUCACUGGAGAUGUUAAUAAAAGGUGUUGUUAAUGCACUCGUUAGAGUAAGGUGGAUAAACCCUAUAAUCCCUCCAGUUCUGACUCAGCUGCGAUUCUCACACAAUGCUCUGAGGAACACUUGUUCUGAGGAAUAUGAAUAGAGGUUUCAUGGGAAAAAAGAUGGGUGAUCAAUUUAAUGUGGGAAAUUCUUGGUUGGAAAAAAAGGUGAGUUCCUUUAUGCUAAGAUUUCUCGGAACCUUCUAAAAACUUUCUUAGCGUUUUAUUUUAUUGACAGACGGAGAGACAGAGUGCGAGCAAGGGAGGGGCAAGAGAGAGAGGGAGACAUAGAAUCCGAGGCAGGCUCCAGGUUCUGAUCUGUCAGCCCAGAGCCUGGUGCAGGGCUCGAACCCACAAAGGAGAGAUCAUGAUCUGAGCCGAAGUCAGACACUCAACUGACUGAGCCACCCAGGCACUCCCCACUUUUUUUUUUUUAAGGUUUUAUUUCAGAACCUUCUAGACACAAAAGUACACCGUGGGUCUUCAUGAUAGGGACAUUAUAUAUGACAUUCCCUAUAUUAAAUUGGUCACAGAGCCUUCUUUUAACAGGGCAUGACCAGGAAAUAAUUUAUUAUUAAGUUCAUUCUUUGAGAAUCAAUGUCCUCAAAUUCUCAAAAGAAUAUGGAUUCCGUUGUCAGACAUCAUGGAGUUCAAAUUCUGCCUCACGUCCCAAGUGACCUUGGACGUGUUAUUUCACCUUUAUCAGCUGUGAAAUGAGAGGGUGUAUAUUCCCCCCUCCGUAUGGCUUUGAAGCUUACACUGUAAAACUUAGAGAAAACAUAGUGCCUGAUGCAGAGCAGGUAUUCAACAAAAGGUAGCUCUAAUUGACGACAGCCUGCCUGGCCAGGAGGGAGAGUGGCUUCCCCAAGUGCUGCUAGCUCUUGAAUUUCCCUGUGUGUGUCCUAGCAGCUGACCUCACUUCUCUUCCCUAAACAGCAGCGAAUGAGAAAUUCCGUUCAUGGUGGGGGGGUGGGGAGGGGGUGGUGCAUAGGAAGCGUCCUCAAAUCUGGUGUGAUUUUAUAGGUCAAGACGGUUUCCAACGGGAGACAACUAUUUCCUUCUCUCCGGUCACACCUCAUCCCCCCUCUGUCAGUCCUGGCCAAAGGAAGCUACAGCCAGGCCUGGCAGGCUCCCCCUCUGCUCCCCUCCACUGCUCAGUUCCUGUUCCUGCAGGCCUUGGAGCCCCCAGCAGAUGGACUGCCCUUAUCAGCAGGCUCCAGGCCAGAGGAGGAAUCCUCCGGUCACAUGCAGCUCUCUGGAGGGAGAGAGGCCUUGUAAAUAAACACAGCCUAUGCAGAGGAAAGGGGAGGCGGGGAGGUUGAGGGAAAAGAAUCCUUGAAAUUUUGGUGACUGGGCCAGGAUUAAAGGCCACCACGCAUAACCCUCAUUGGCCAUUUCUGUGAGGAAUCGACAAACCAUGCACCGUCCCCGGAAAGAAAUGCGUGCAGGCCUUUAAAUAGCCCUUGGAGCUGGGGUGUUCCCACUAUGCUGCUGGCUUGAUUCAGGCCUAAUCCUCGCCCAGGACUGACUCUUCACAGUUUACAGAGCACUUUAUCCCUGGGCUCUGUGGAGUCGCACAGAGCUCUCCCCAGAGCAGGGAGGUGUAUCAUCAUCCCAAUUUACAAAUGAGGAAACUGAGGCUCGGAUUAUGA
This 6075-nucleotide long non-coding RNA is filed under the name Lynx pardinus (Iberian lynx). Lineage: Eukaryota; Metazoa; Chordata; Mammalia; Carnivora; Felidae. The record is from RNAcentral.